GGGUCGAUGGCGUAGUUGGUUAUCGCAUCUGUCUAACAUAUGAUGUACACAGAAGGUCCUCAGUUCGAACCUGGGUCGACUCA
Termitomyces sp. 'cryptogamus' is the source of this 83-nucleotide non-coding RNA. Lineage: Eukaryota; Fungi; Basidiomycota; Agaricomycetes; Agaricales; Lyophyllaceae. The record is from the annotation of a GenBank genome assembly.